AAAAUGCGAAACGUAAUGCGAUUUGCAUGAAUCUGUGAGUCAUCUAGUUUUUGAACGCAACUUGCACUCUGUUUCGGCAGAGUAUGUCUGUCUGAGAGCCGCAAAUGAUAAUGCCACAUGGUUGGAGGGUGGCGAGUUGGGGGUAUGCGGUGUGGGUGACACGGUCGCAUUCCUCAGAAAGGGGCAGCAGGCGAUUCACGUGCUAGAACAGGCUUUGGUGGCAGACUUUUGGUUUGUCGACGGUGGUUUGUUGGUCGUGGGUGGUGCUUGGGGUGGUGGGGUGUGGGAGUUUGGAUCAGCAUUCCACCGCCAUGUUUUUUAUGAUGGUCUCAGAUCAGGCAAGACUACCCGCUGAACUUAA
This 361-nucleotide unclassified non-coding RNA is filed under the name uncultured fungus. RNAcentral's name for it is "sequence contains ITS1". The stretch from base 1 to 101 matches the Rfam family "5.8S ribosomal RNA", at positions 50 to 154 of the family's 154-position model. Lineage: Eukaryota; Fungi. The record is from RNAcentral.